This 290-nucleotide long non-coding RNA is filed under the name Falco tinnunculus (common kestrel). Its description in RNAcentral is "lncRNA (ENSFTIG00000013877.1)". Lineage: Eukaryota; Metazoa; Chordata; Aves; Falconiformes; Falconidae. The record is from RNAcentral.
UAAAAGAAGAUUGUGUAUUUUGUAUUUAUUUUUUUAGGAAACUCAGAGAUUUCUACCUUCAUGAAAGGCCCAUGUAUUCUCCUAGAGAGCCUGAAGUCUCCACUAAACCCAUUCUUCUGUUUAGAGGCUUAAAGCCCUGAAGUUGGUGUCUCUGCUUAGAAGAACAGACCUACUGGACCAUCUGUGGGUUCCCUGUGUGCACAGGUCAUAAGUUCUCACAUUGUUUCCAGGUAAAAAUCCCUGCUUCUGAUUUAAAUUCAAUUCUACAUGCAUUUAUGAAGGAAGGAAAA